Molecule: non-coding RNA, 69 nt
Filed under: Flavobacteriaceae bacterium
Lineage: Bacteria; Pseudomonadati; Bacteroidota; Flavobacteriia; Flavobacteriales; Flavobacteriaceae
Description: Fluoride sequence
Rfam family: Fluoride riboswitch aptamer (crcB RNA motif)
Source: RNAcentral
AUUUAAGAAGGAAAUGGUGUCCUUCCUUUUCUAACCGCUUUUUUAAAAGCUGAUGACGCCUGAUUAAGC